UGGGCUUUGGUGCAUCUGUCUUUGAGUCA
Molecule: non-coding RNA, 29 nt
Filed under: Mus musculus (house mouse)
Lineage: Eukaryota; Metazoa; Chordata; Mammalia; Rodentia; Muridae
Source: RNAcentral